This 77-nucleotide transfer RNA is filed under the name Bacilli bacterium. RNAcentral's name for it is "tRNA-Ile". It matches the Rfam family "tRNA". From Rfam's summary of the family: Transfer RNA (tRNA) molecules are approximately 80 nucleotides in length. Their secondary structure includes four short double-helical elements and three loops (D, anti-codon, and T loops). Lineage: Bacteria; Bacillati; Bacillota; Bacilli. The record is from RNAcentral. RNAcentral also lists the same sequence under 1 other name.
GGACCUUUAGCUCAGUUGGUUAGAGCAUCCGGCUCAUAACCGGACGGUCGUAGGUUCGAGUCCUACAAGGUCCACCA